UACGUAGGGUGCGAGCGUUAAUCGGAAUUACUGGGCGUAAAGCGUGCGUAGGCGGUUCGUUAUGUCUGCUGUGAAAUCCCCGGGCUCAACCUGGGAAUGGCAGUGGAAACUGGCGGGCUUGAGUGUGGCAGAGGGGGGUGGAAUUCCGCGUGUAGCAGUGAAAUGCGUAGAGAUGCGGAGGAACACCGAUGGCGAAGGCAGCCCCCUGGGCUAACACUGACGCUCAGGCACGAAAGCGUGGGGAGCAAACAGG
Molecule: ribosomal RNA, 253 nt
Filed under: uncultured bacterium
Lineage: Bacteria
Description: partial 16S ribosomal RNA
Rfam family: Bacterial small subunit ribosomal RNA
Source: RNAcentral